GCGGCCCAUCUCAAAAUCUUGGACCAUUUGUGUAACGUGGGUACAUGGCGAAGUAAUAAUUACGAAUAUGCAUGAAACAAGCCGGUAUUUCUAGAACCCGAUUACAAGCAGCGAUUUGAGUUAUCGCCACUUAAGCGCGCAUAAAAGUACAGGAGGUGCAAACUUUUCACGCGACAAUCAAUCCCACGAAUUUGCCCUAGAUUUCGGUAACUACUUGAAUCAAUUCAGUAUAGAAUUAUUCUUGAAGAAUUCCAAAGAAACUCCAAGCUGCAUAUGCGUGUUCUACACUUUGUACCUAGGGUGCACUUACUUUUAUAAAGAUCUGCUCGAGUUAAUAAAACUUUUUUUAGAGUAACGUGCAUAUCGGCCGAGACCUUGCUUUUUCUCUAAUACACUCUUGAAGUGCUUGUUUGUGCUUUCGUGUUUGUUGGACUUCAGCCACCCGCUUGAGCUCAGGGAAUUUUCCUGCUUCGCACCCUGAAACGCAACCCGAAUUGGAUCCAACCCGGACAUUCUGGAUCGCCACGCUUCUCGCCCACUAGCCCAGCUAGGCAUUCCCCGUGUCUAAUACGGCCCUAAAUUAUCUCCAGAAGCAAGGCUGCUUUUGACAAGCUAAGAAAUGGGAGCCUUGCGUGCUGCUUGUCCUUGACCAAGAAGGGGCCACCUGUAAUGAAACUACAUAUACGAGAGGAAGACAUGAAUUUCUGGUGUGUAUCGCCUAUAGCGGCACGACGCGCGCGAGUCUGGUUUUCAUUAGAAGUUGAAAAGGAGGUCGGGCGACCUGCAUUCCAAACACGCAGGGCCAGAUUAUCAAGGUAUACAUACUGGAUGCUCGAAUGAAGCGUGUUGCUUACCGGCUUGACCGAAGUAGGCAGCAACGUGUAAGGCUGUCACGCCGAGUUUCUUGCUGGAGAUCCGGAGGGAUUGGGAG
This is a long non-coding RNA of Cephus cinctus (wheat stem sawfly), 931 nucleotides long. RefSeq lists it as uncharacterized. The transcript is spliced from 3 exons. The record is from RefSeq and is a predicted model, not a curated record. Lineage: Eukaryota; Metazoa; Arthropoda; Insecta; Hymenoptera; Cephidae.